CGGGCUGUAAGUUAAAAAAAACUAUUAGACUUCAAAUCUGAAUAUAUCCUUGAAAGGGUCAGCCUGA
This 67-nucleotide transfer RNA is filed under the name Saccostrea kegaki. Its description in RNAcentral is "tRNA-Trp". Lineage: Eukaryota; Metazoa; Mollusca; Bivalvia; Ostreida; Ostreidae. The record is from RNAcentral.